This 440-nucleotide ribosomal RNA is filed under the name uncultured bacterium. Its description in RNAcentral is "partial 16S ribosomal RNA". It matches the Rfam family "Bacterial small subunit ribosomal RNA", at positions 338 to 795 of the family's 1533-position model. The record is from RNAcentral.
CCUACGGGAGGCAGCAGUAGGGAAUAUUGCUCAAUGGGGGAAACCCUGAAGCAGCAACGCCGCGUGGAGGAUGAAGGUUUUCGGAUUGUAAACUCCUUUUGUUAGGGAAGAUAAUGACGGUAUCUAACGAAUAAGCACCGGCUAACUCCGUGCCAGCAGCCGCGGUAAUACGGAGGGUGCAAGCGUUACUCGGAAUCACUGGGCGUAAAGAGCGCGUAGGCGGGAUAGCAAGUCAGAUGUGAAAUCCUAUGGCUUAACCAUAGAACUGCAGUUGAAACUGUUAUUCUAGAGUAUGGGAGAGGUAGGUGGAAUUCUUGGUGUAGGGGUAAAAUGCGUAGAGAUCAAGAGGAAUACUCAUUGCGAAGGCGACCUGCUAGAACAUAACUGACGCUGAUGCGCGAAAGCGUGGGGAGCAAACAGGAUUAGAUACCCGAGUAGUC